UUUGUCUCACGUAGUAUUUGUUUAAGUUUUCUCAUACAGGUGUAGAAUACCUACCGGAGUUUGAGCAUGACAGAUACUCCAUGAUCACUGUAUUCAAGAGGUGCUCGAGGAGCCAUUUUAUAUUUUUGAGUCAAUUGUUCAUGUUUUACUUUCUUGUCCCGUAUAGUAGUACUUAGUCUUUUAGGUGAUGUUAGAGCUUGUAAU
RNAcentral lists this long non-coding RNA (204 nucleotides) under Nicotiana benthamiana. Its description in RNAcentral is "long non-coding RNA (NBEN_LNC041772)". The record is from RNAcentral. Lineage: Eukaryota; Viridiplantae; Streptophyta; Magnoliopsida; Solanales; Solanaceae.